Molecule: ribosomal RNA, 497 nt
Filed under: uncultured bacterium
Lineage: Bacteria
Description: partial 16S ribosomal RNA
Rfam family: Bacterial small subunit ribosomal RNA
Source: RNAcentral
GAUGAACGCUGGCGGCGUGCCUAAUACAUGCAAGUCGAGCGAACAGACGAGGAGCUUGCUCCUCUGACGUUAGCGGCGGACGGGUGAGUAACACGUGGAUAACCUACCUAUAAGACUGGGAUAACUUCGGGAAACCGGAGCUAAUACCGGAUAAUAUAUUGAACCGCAUGGUUCAAUAGUGAAAGACGGUAUUGCUGACACUUAUAGAUGGAUCCGCGCCGCAUUAGCUAGUUGGUAAGGGAAGGGCUUACCAAGGCAACGAUGCGUAGCCGACCUGAGAGGGUGUUCGGCCACACUGGAACUGGACCACGGUCCAGACUCCUACGGGAGGCAGCAGUAGGGAAUCUUCCGCAAUGGGCGAAAGCCUGACGGAGCAACGCCGCGUGAGUGAUGAAGGUCUUCGGAUCGUAAAACUCUGUUAUUAGGGAAGAACAAAUGUGUAAUUAACUAUGCACGUCUUGACGGUACCUAAUCAGAAAGCCACGGCUAACUACGUG